RNAcentral lists this ribosomal RNA (222 nucleotides) under uncultured bacterium. RNAcentral describes it as "partial 16S ribosomal RNA". It matches the Rfam family "Bacterial small subunit ribosomal RNA", at positions 128 to 334 of the family's 1533-position model. The record is from RNAcentral.
GCCCUUCAGAGGGGGACAACAGUUGGAAACGACUGCUAAUACCGCAUACGAUCUAACCUCGGCAUCGAGGAUAGAUGAAAGGUGGCCUCUAUGUAUAAGCUAUCACUGAAGGAGGGGAUUGCGUCUGAUUAGCUAGUUGGAGGGGUAACGGCCCACCAAGGCGAUGAUCAGUAGCCGGUCUGAGAGGGUGAACGGCCACAUUGGGACUGAGACACGGCCCAA